RNAcentral lists this ribosomal RNA (253 nucleotides) under uncultured bacterium. Its description in RNAcentral is "partial 16S ribosomal RNA". It matches the Rfam family "Bacterial small subunit ribosomal RNA", at positions 524 to 776 of the family's 1533-position model. The record is from RNAcentral.
UACGUAGGGGGCAAGCGUUGUCCGGAAUUAUUGGGCGUAAAGAGCUCGUAGGCGGUCUGUCGCGUCUGCUGUGAAAAUCCAGGGCUCAACCCUGGACCUGCAGUGGGUACUGUCAGACUAGAGUGCGGUAGGGGAGAUCGGAAUUCCUGGUGUAGCGGUGAAAUGCGCAGAUAUCAGGAGGAACACCGGUGGCGAAGGCGGGUCUCUGGGCCGAUACUGACGCUGAGGAGCGAAAGCGUGGGGAGCGAACCGG